CGGAAAACAUGCUCGCCCAUAUUGCCC
This 27-nucleotide non-coding RNA is filed under the name Mus musculus (house mouse). Lineage: Eukaryota; Metazoa; Chordata; Mammalia; Rodentia; Muridae. The record is from RNAcentral.